CUCCAGACUCCUACGGGAGGCAGCAGUGGGGGAUAUUGCACAAUGGGGGGAACCCUGAUGCAGCGACGCCGCGUGGGUGAAGGAGUGCUUCGGCAUGUAAAGCCCUAUCAGCAGGGAAGAAAGAAAUGACGGUACCUGACUAAGAAGCCCCGGCUAACUACGUGCCAGCAGCCGCGGUAAUACGUAGGGGGCAAGCGUUAUCCGGAUUUACUGGGUGUAAAGGGAGCGUAGACGGCAGUGCAAGUCUGAAGUGAAAGGCGGGGGCCCAACCCCCGGACUGCUUUGGAAACUGUGCUGCUGGAGUGCAGGAGAGGCAAGUGGAAUUCCUAGUGUAGCGGUGAAAUGCGUAGAUAUUAGGAGGAACACCAGUGGCGAAGGCGGCUUACUGGACGAUUACUGACGCUGAGGCUCGAAAGCGUGGGGAGCAAACAGGAUUAGAUACCCCCGUAU
This 450-nucleotide ribosomal RNA is filed under the name uncultured bacterium. RNAcentral describes it as "bacterial SSU rRNA". It matches the Rfam family "Bacterial small subunit ribosomal RNA", at positions 329 to 793 of the family's 1533-position model. The record is from RNAcentral.